Molecule: small nucleolar RNA, 143 nt
Filed under: Cephalotus follicularis
Lineage: Eukaryota; Viridiplantae; Streptophyta; Magnoliopsida; Oxalidales; Cephalotaceae
Description: Small nucleolar RNA U19
Rfam family: Small nucleolar RNA U19
Source: Rfam by way of RNAcentral
AUCUGGCUUAGUUAAGAGGCAUACAACAAUGAGAUCAAAAUAUCAGCUUUUGAUAUUUUGGUCAAUUUAACUGAGGCUUUUUUUUUUUUUUUUGAAGGCAAAUUAUUCUAUAAAUUGUCCACUAAAAGAAGCCUUAGACAUCA